UACGGAGGAUGCGAGCGUUAUCCGGAUUUAUUGGGUUUAAAGGGUGCGUAGGCGGGCUUUUAAGUCAGCGGUAAAAAUUCGGGGCCCAACCCCGUCCGGCCGUCGAAACUGGGGGCCUUGAGUGGGCGAGAAGAAGGCGGAAUGCGUGGUGUAGCGGUGAAAUGCAUAGAUAUCACGCAGAACCCCGAUUGCGAAGGCAGCCUUCCGGCGCCCUACUGACGCUGAGGCACGAAAGUGCGGGGAUCGAACAGG
This 252-nucleotide ribosomal RNA is filed under the name uncultured bacterium. RNAcentral describes it as "partial 16S ribosomal RNA". It matches the Rfam family "Bacterial small subunit ribosomal RNA", at positions 524 to 776 of the family's 1533-position model. The record is from RNAcentral.